UUAAGCGACUAAGCGUACACGGUGGAUGCCCUGGCAGUCAGAGGCGAUGAAGGACGUGCUAAUCUGCGAUAAGCGUCGGUAAGGUGAUAUGAACCGUUAUAACCGGCGAUUUCCGAAUGGGGAAACCCAGUGUGAUUCGUCACACUAUCAUUAACUGAAUCCAUAGGUUAAUGAGGCGAACCGGGGGAACUGAAACAUCUAAGUACCCCGAGGAAAAGAAAUCAACCGAGAUUCCCCCAGUAGCGGCGAGCGAACGGGGAGCAGCCCAGAGCCUGAAUCAGUGUGUGUGUUAGUGGAAGCGUCUGGAAAGGCGCGCGAUACAGGGUGACAGCCCCGUACACAAAAAUGCACAUACUGUGAGCUCGAUGAGUAGGGCGGGACACGUGGUAUCCUGUCUGAAUAUGGGGGGACCAUCCUCCAAGGCUAAAUACUCCUGACUGACCGAUAGUGAACCAGUACCGUGAGGGAAAGGCGAAAAGAACCCCGGCGAGGGGAGUGAAAAAGAACCUGAAACCGUGUACGUACAAGCAGUGGGAGCACGCUUCGGCGUGUGACUGCGUACCUUUUGUAUAAUGGGUCAGCGACUUAUAUUCUGUAGCAAGGUUAACCGAAUAGGGGAGCCGAAGGGAAACCGAGUCUUAACUGGGCGUUAAGUUGCAGGGUAUAGACCCGAAACCCGGUGAUCUAGCCAUGGGCAGGUUGAAGGUUGGGUAACACUAACUGGAGGACCGAACCGACUAAUGUUGAAAAAUUAGCGGAUGACUUGUGGCUGGGGGUGAAAGGCCAAUCAAACCGGGAGAUAGCUGGUUCUCCCCGAAAGCUAUUUAGGUAGCGCCUCGUGAAUUCAUCUCCGGGGGUAGAGCACUGUUUCGGCAAGGGGGUCAUCCCGACUUACCAACCCGAUGCAAACUGCGAAUACCGGAGAAUGUUAUCACGGGAGACACACGGCGGGUGCUAACGUCCGUCGUGAAGAGGGAAACAACCCAGACCGCCAGCUAAGGUCCCAAAGUCAUGGUUAAGUGGGAAACGAUGUGGGAAGGCCCAGACAGCCAGGAUGUUGGCUUAGAAGCAGCCAUCAUUUAAAGAAAGCGUAAUAGCUCACUGGUCGAGUCGGCCUGCGCGGAAGAUGUAACGGGGCUAAACCAUGCACCGAAGCUGCGGCAGCGACACUAUGUGUUGUUGGGUAGGGGAGCGUUCUGUAAGCCUGUGAAGGUGUACUGUGAGGUAUGCUGGAGGUAUCAGAAGUGCGAAUGCUGACAUAAGUAACGAUAAAGCGGGUGAAAAGCCCGCUCGCCGGAAGACCAAGGGUUCCUGUCCAACGUUAAUCGGGGCAGGGUGAGUCGACCCCUAAGGCGAGGCCGAAAGGCGUAGUCGAUGGGAAACAGGUUAAUAUUCCUGUACUUGGUGUUACUGCGAAGGGGGGACGGAGAAGGCUAUGUUGGCCGGGCGACGGUUGUCCCGGUUUAAGCGUGUAGGCUGGUUUUCCAGGCAAAUCCGGAAAAUCAAGGCUGAGGCGUGAUGACGAGGCACUACGGUGCUGAAGCAACAAAUGCCCUGCUUCCAGGAAAAGCCUCUAAGCAUCAGGUAACAUCAAAUCGUACCCCAAACCGACACAGGUGGUCAGGUAGAGAAUACCAAGGCGCUUGAGAGAACUCGGGUGAAGGAACUAGGCAAAAUGGUGCCGUAACUUCGGGAGAAGGCACGCUGAUAUGUAGGUGAAGCGACUUGCUCGUGGAGCUGAAAUCAGUCGAAGAUACCAGCUGGCUGCAACUGUUUAUUAAAAACACAGCACUGUGCAAACACGAAAGUGGACGUAUACGGUGUGACGCCUGCCCGGUGCCGGAAGGUUAAUUGAUGGGGUUAGCGGUAACGCGAAGCUCUUGAUCGAAGCCCCGGUAAACGGCGGCCGUAACUAUAACGGUCCUAAGGUAGCGAAAUUCCUUGUCGGGUAAGUUCCGACCUGCACGAAUGGCGUAAUGAUGGCCAGGCUGUCUCCACCCGAGACUCAGUGAAAUUGAACUCGCUGUGAAGAUGCAGUGUACCCGCGGCAAGACGGAAAGACCCCGUGAACCUUUACUAUAGCUUGACACUGAACAUUGAGCCUUGAUGUGUAGGAUAGGUGGGAGGCUUUGAAGUGUGGACGCCAGUCUGCAUGGAGCCGACCUUGAAAUACCACCCUUUAAUGUUUGAUGUUCUAACGUUGACCCGUGAUCCGGGUUGCGGACAGUGUCUGGUGGGUAGUUUGACUGGGGCGGUCUCCUCCUAAAGAGUAACGGAGGAGCACGAAGGUUGGCUAAUCCUGGUCGGACAUCAGGAGGUUAGUGCAAUGGCAUAAGCCAGCUUGACUGCGAGCGUGACGGCGCGAGCAGGUGCGAAAGCAGGUCAUAGUGAUCCGGUGGUUCUGAAUGGAAGGGCCAUCGCUCAACGGAUAAAAGGUACUCCGGGGAUAACAGGCUGAUACCGCCCAAGAGUUCAUAUCGACGGCGGUGUUUGGCACCUCGAUGUCGGCUCAUCACAUCCUGGGGCUGAAGUAGGUCCCAAGGGUAUGGCUGUUCGCCAUUUAAAGUGGUACGCGAGCUGGGUUUAGAACGUCGUGAGACAGUUCGGUCCCUAUCUGCCGUGGGCGCUGGAGAACUGAGGGGGGCUGCUCCUAGUACGAGAGGACCGGAGUGGACGCAUCACUGGUGUUCGGGUUGUCAUGCCAAUGGCACUGCCCGGUAGCUAAAUGCGGAAGAGAUAAGUGCUGAAAGCAUCUAAGCACGAAACUUGCCCCGAGAUGAGUUCUCCCUGACUCCUUGAGAGUCCUGAAGGAACGUUGAAGACGACGACGUUGAUAGGCCGGGUGUGUAAGCGCAGCGAUGCGUUGAGCUAACCGGUACUAAUGAACCGUGAGGCUUAACCU
RNAcentral lists this ribosomal RNA (2902 nucleotides) under Escherichia coli. RNAcentral's name for it is "23S ribosomal RNA". It matches the Rfam family "Bacterial large subunit ribosomal RNA". The record is from RNAcentral. Lineage: Bacteria; Pseudomonadati; Pseudomonadota; Gammaproteobacteria; Enterobacterales; Enterobacteriaceae.